CGUCAGCUCGUGUCGUGAGAUGUUGGGUUAAGUCCCGCAACGAGCGCAACCCUCGACCUUAGUUGCCAGCAUUCAGUUGGGCACUCUAAGGUGACUGCCGGCUAAAAGUCGGAGGAAGGUGGGGAUGGACGUCAAAUCAUCAUGCCCCUUAUGACCUGGGCUACACACGUGCUACAAUGGGCGGUACAAAGGGUCGCGAACCCGCGAGGGGGAGCCAAUCCCAAAAAGCCGCUCUCAGUUCGGAUUGCAGGCUGCAACUCGCCUGCAUGAAGCCGGAAUCGCUAGUAAUCGCGGAUCAGCAUGCCGCGGUGAAUACGUUCCCGGGCCUU
Molecule: ribosomal RNA, 329 nt
Filed under: uncultured Anoxybacillus sp.
Lineage: Bacteria; Bacillati; Bacillota; Bacilli; Caryophanales; Anoxybacillaceae
Description: bacterial SSU rRNA
Rfam family: Bacterial small subunit ribosomal RNA
Source: RNAcentral